This 424-nucleotide ribosomal RNA is filed under the name uncultured archaeon. RNAcentral describes it as "partial 16S ribosomal RNA". It matches the Rfam family "Archaeal small subunit ribosomal RNA", at positions 323 to 746 of the family's 1478-position model. The record is from RNAcentral.
CUACGGGCGGCAGCAGUUAGGAAUCUUUUGCAAUGCGCGAAAGCGUGACAAAGCGAGCCAGAGUGAUUUUCCAUAUUGGAAAAUCUUUUGCGGGAUUUAAAAAGUCCUGCGAAUAAGGACCGGGUAAGACUGGUGCCAGCCGCCGCGGUAAUCCCAGCGGUCCGAGUCGCAACCACAUUUAUUGGGUCUAAAACAUCCGUAGCUUGCAUUGUAAGUUUCUUGUGAAAUCGGGCAUCUUAAGUGUCCGGCGGGCAAGAAAUACUGCUUUGCUAGGGACCGGGAGGCGUAAGAAGUACAUAAAGGGUAGCGGUAAAAUGUGUUGAUCCUUUAUGGACUAACGACAGCGAAGGCAUCUUACGAGAACGGAUCUGACAGUGAGGGAUGAAGGCUAGGGGCGCAAAACGGAUUAGAUACCCCAGUAGUC